AACCCAUGAUGUGGAACAUCGAUCAAAAGACCUUUGAACCUCUCCCAAGCUGCGUGUAGAGAUUCUCCUUCGUCCUGUUUAAAUGUCAUAAUAUGAUUCUUAAGCUU
Helianthus annuus (common sunflower) is the source of this 107-nucleotide non-coding RNA. The record is from Rfam. NCBI's taxonomy places the organism in Eukaryota, Viridiplantae, Streptophyta, Magnoliopsida, Asterales, Asteraceae.